This 504-nucleotide long non-coding RNA is filed under the name Homo sapiens (human). RNAcentral's name for it is "HSALNT0098226". The record is from RNAcentral. Lineage: Eukaryota; Metazoa; Chordata; Mammalia; Primates; Hominidae.
UGCGCUCCAUAAUUUCUUACAUUAUUAAUCUUAACAUAAGACAAUAUAUAUGUCAUAUUGAUUUUACCAUUUUUAUUAAAGUGUUAUAAAAGAGUAAAUGCAUUCAUGUAGAGGCAAGAAUAUAAGUUAAACUAGUUACAUGAGAUGACAGCCUGAAUAACAGUCUCUCAAAGAUGUUCACGUCCUAGUCCAGGAAACUGUGACUGUGUUAUCUUACCUGGCGUAAGGAAUUUAGCAGAUGUUAUUAAGUUGAGGAUCUUGAGAUUAUCUCAUAUUAUUUGAGUGGAUCUGAUUUAAUCACAAGGGUCCUUUUAAGAGGGCAGCAGGAAGUCAGAGAGGAGAAAAGAUGCUUAGCUGCUGGUUUUGAAGAUUAGAGGAAGGAACCAAAGAAUGCAGGCAGCCUCUGAAAGCUGGAAGAGGCGCGGAAGCAGAUUCUUCCCGAAGUGUCCAGAAGACAUGCAGAGCAGCCAACACCUUGAGGUAUAGAAUGGAUUCCUUCAUCAG